This 408-nucleotide ribosomal RNA is filed under the name uncultured bacterium. RNAcentral's name for it is "bacterial SSU rRNA". It matches the Rfam family "Bacterial small subunit ribosomal RNA", at positions 355 to 760 of the family's 1533-position model. The record is from RNAcentral.
UGAGGAAUAUUGGUCAAUGGGCGGGAGCCUGAACCAGCCAAGUCGCGUGAAGGAAGAAGGAUCUAUGGUUCGUAAACUUCUUUUGCAGGGGAAUAAAGUGCAGGACGUGUCCUGUUUUGUAUGUACCCUGAGAAUAAGGAUCGGCUAACUCCGUGCCAGCAGCCGCGGUAAUACGGAGGAUCCGAGCGUUAUCCGGAUUUAUUGGGUUUAAAGGGUGCGUAGGUGGUUUGAUAAGUCAGCGGUGAAAGUUUGCAGCUUAACUGUAAAAAAGCCAUUGAAGCUGUAGGACUUGAGUGUAAAUGAAGUAGACGGAAUGCGUGGUGUAGCGGUGAAAUGCAUAGAUAUCACGCGGAACUCCGAUUGCGAAGGCAGCUUACUAAGCUACAACUGACACUGAAGCACGAAAGC